GACGAACGCUGGCGGCGUGCUUAACACAUGCAAGUCGAACGGAAAGGCCCUGCUUUUGUGGGGUGCUCGAGUGGCGAACGGGUGAGUAACCCGUGAGUCACCUGCCCUUGACUUUGGGAUAACUUCAGACAACUGGGGCUAAUACCGGCUAGGAGCUCCUGCUGCAUGGUGGGGGUCGGAAAGUUUCGGCGGUUGGGGAUGGACUCGGGGCUUAUCAGCUUGUUGGUGGGGUAGUGGCUUACCAAGGCUUUGACGGGUAGCCGGCCUGAGAGGGUGACCGGCCACAUUGGGACUGAGAUACGGCCCAGACUCCUACGGGAGGCAGCAGUGGAGAAUAUUGCACAAUGGGCGGAAGCCUGAUGCAGCAACGCCGCGUGCGGGAUGACGGCCUUCGGGUUGUAAACCGCUUUCGCCUGUGACGAAGCGUGAGUGACGGUAAUGGGUAAAGAAGCACCGGCUAACUACGUG
RNAcentral lists this ribosomal RNA (468 nucleotides) under uncultured bacterium. Its description in RNAcentral is "partial 16S ribosomal RNA". It matches the Rfam family "Bacterial small subunit ribosomal RNA", at positions 28 to 507 of the family's 1533-position model. The record is from RNAcentral.